UCUCCAGACUCCUACGGGAGGCAGCAGUGGGGAAUAUUGCACAAUGGGGGAAACCCUGAUGCAGCGACGCCGCGUGAGUGAAGAAGUAUUUCGGUAUGUAAAGCUCUAUCAGCAGGGAAGAAAAUGACGGUACCUGAGUAAGAAGCCCCGGCUAACUACGUGCCAGCAGCCGCGGUAAUACGUAGGGGGCAAGCGUUAUCCGGAUUUACUGGGUGUAAAGGGAGCGUAGACGGCAGUGCAAGUCUGGAGUGAAAGGCGGGGGCUCAACCCCCGGACUGCUCUGGAAACUGUACGGCUGGAGUGCAGGAGGGGCAGGCGGAAUUCCUGGUGUAGCGGUGAAAUGCGUAGAUAUCAGGAGGAACACCGGUGGCGAAGGCGGCCUGCUGGACUGCAACUGACGUUGAGGCCCGAAAGCGUGGGGAGCAAACAGGAUUAGAUACCCGCGUA
RNAcentral lists this ribosomal RNA (447 nucleotides) under uncultured bacterium. RNAcentral describes it as "bacterial SSU rRNA". It matches the Rfam family "Bacterial small subunit ribosomal RNA", at positions 328 to 792 of the family's 1533-position model. The record is from RNAcentral.